AUUUCCCCUCGUUGAAACUUGGAACUUCGAUUCUAUAUGGCUAGUUACAUUGUGGAAAGUGUGUUCACCACAAAAUGUAACUUAAUCCUUUCGUUAAUUGCUGUUUACAUAUUAGCAUGGACAAAUAUCACUCGCUAGUUUCAUACAUUUUCUUAAUAGCAUGCAACAUUGAGAUAUUUUCAGGGUAUUAAUCAUCUUUGGUUUUUUCAUUUUUAAAGCUUGAGAAUGCUUGAUCUUGUUGAAUUAUGCUUGUGUACAGAGUAAAAAUACUUUUGAUUCCCAUAAUUUAAUUCCAAAUUUAGUCCAUCUAUGUUUGAGAUUUGUAUAUCAACAUAAUAACAAACAAAAAAAAAAUAAAAUUGUUGAUACUUGCAUAAUGUUUCGUCUGUGGAGAUUAUAUGCUUAUUGUACUUCCAUUUGCAAUAUCAAGUCGACCUCUACUGUGUAGAUAUUUCAAAAUUAUGAUACAUUGGGAUUAUAUGAACAGUAGUCGCAAUUUGGUAAGAUUAUGUAGGUAAUUGAUUUUAAGAGAACAUUCAAAGAGUUCAUAUUGGUAGCUGUAAGGAGUAUUUCUGCUGUACCUACUCUUUUUUUUUUUUAUGAAUAAAAACUGGGUUGUAUUAAUCAGAAAGGAAACCAUAACUUGUUCCUGAGAAAAUAAAGCAUGGCCCAAACAUACACAGGCCUAUUAAAAUACUAAUAAAGAACAAAUGAAACGACAAAAGAAAGGAAAGGUAACCCAGCUUUAAGAGCUGUCAUUUCUAAAUCCUUUUGAAAAAAUCUUCUUUCUCAAUUGUAGCAGCUCCUGGAGAAGAUCAAUCGUCUGACAAAAAUAAAUGGUUCUCUUCUCAAUCUUAAACCUUCGGUUCUUCUUCAACACCAUCCGCGAUCGACUUCAGCUAUUGUAAUAUCCGGACCAUUAUUUCUCUGGGCAAGGUGAGUGGUAUUCUUCAUUUUUAAACCCCUUGUUGCCAGUAUGUGCGCAUGCUCAUUAACUGUUCGUUUGACAUGUUGAAACUUACACUCGUAGAAGGCCUUACUCAGUUCUUUAAUGUUUUGGAUGUGUGGCCCUAUUACCGAUUUAUCUCUAUUGCUGCUUUUGACUCGUUUUAUAAUUGCCAGGGAGUCUCGUUCAAUUUCCACAUAUUUUAACCCCAGAUUCUUCCCCAUUUCAAGUCCCUGUAGACAUGCAAGGGCUUCAGCUGCAAACCCUGAAGGUACAUUUUCGUUUGUUGUGGUUGUUGAAUUCAUGACAUCCCCAUUACAGUCUCUGAUGAUGAUUCCUGAGCAUGAUCUGUAGUUUUUAGUAACCACUGCAGCAUCAAAAUUGAUUUUGCAGAACCCUUGCUCCGGAGGCUUCCACAGCUCUUGAGACAUUCUUGAUGUAGGAUAUAUCUGCUUUGUGUUGUUCAGCUCUUGGAUAUACUCUAAUAUAAAUCUUGCUGUCUCUGCUCCAGAUCUCCGUCGUCCUUCAUAGAUCCAUUGAUUUCUAGCAUGCCAGAUAGCCCAGAUAGCGCAAAUGAACAUUCGGCAACUGUCGUUCUCUUUGUUUAGCAUGAACCAGGUAAACCAAUCCAAGAACUCCAAAUGAGAUAAAUCCUGGGGCCAAUCAUAUCGUAAUGUAUUCCAUGUUUCUUUUGUAACAGUGCAGUCAUGGAAUAUAUGCUCCCUGUUUUCCAGGCCUUGCUUGCAUCUUGGACAUACUCCCUCGUUUGUUAACCUUUUGAUUCUUAGAUUCACUAGAGUAGGCAAAUAGUGUAAGGUGGCUCUCCAAACUGUAAUAAGUAUUUUUGAAGGGAGGUCACUAUUCCAUAGCUUUUUGUAGCAUUUACUGAUUUCGAUUGGGUUGUAACUAUUAUUAGUAAGCAAGUUACCAUGUAAUAACAAUUUAUACCCACUUCACACUGUGUAUUCACCUGUUGACUCCCCCCUCCAAGCCAAAAAGUCGUCGUGGGGAAUUGUAGUUAGCGGAAUUUGGAGAAUUUUUUGGACAUCAUCUGUUGAGAAGGUAUGUUCGAGCAGCUCUGUUUUUCAUGACCUAUUGUUACUGUUGAUUAGAUCUGCUACCCUCGUUAUACUCUGAUUUCUCACCACCUGUUGAAUAUGUAAAUUUUCAGCAUUCGGAACCCAUAUAUCCUCUUCAAUUUGAACAUCUCGUCCGCUGCCAAUUCGCCAACAAAGUCUCGAUAACAAGAGACCCUUUGCAGCCCAUAUACUUUUCCAAGUGUAUGAGGGUAACUUUCCUAGUUCUGAGUUUAGGAACUCUAAAUUUGGAUGAUAUUUAGCUUUUAAGGUUUUCGCUAGAAGAGAAGUAGGAUUUUCAAUUAGUCUCCAGCCUUGCUUCGCGAGAAGAGCCAGGUUAAAUUUUGCAAAAUUGCGAUAUCCAAGACCUCUAUUCUCCUUCAAUUCACAUAAAUUACUCCAAGAGCACCAAUGUAUCCUGCGUUUCCCAUACCCUUUUUGCCACCAGAAAUUUACUAUUAUUUUUUCCAUGUCUUCACAUACUGAUUUCGGUAACAGAAAGAAGCCCAUCGUAUAAGUAGGAAUUGCUUGCAAAAUAGCCUCCCUGCGAUAACAACCUUGUACUUCAGCUUAUAACAACCCGUCUUUUAGUGGUGUCCAAAAUGGUAGUUUUGAAAUCCCAUUCUCCGAUGAUCGAGUACGUAAAUAUUAUUAAUUAAUAUUUAUAAGUAUAUUAUAGUGUUAUAUUAAAUUUUAACUCGAUAAUUGUAUUAAAUAAUUAGUAAUUAAGGUAUAAAGACUAAAUCCUAAA
This 2773-nucleotide long non-coding RNA is filed under the name Gossypium barbadense (sea-island cotton). RNAcentral's name for it is "long non-coding RNA (GBAR_LNC006035)". The record is from RNAcentral. Lineage: Eukaryota; Viridiplantae; Streptophyta; Magnoliopsida; Malvales; Malvaceae.